AGCUUUGCGCAGUGGCAGUAUUGUAGCCAAUGAGGUUUAUCCAAGGCGCAAUUAUUGGUAAUUGAUUUGUAUUUCCCUGAUGAUGAGUGAUGUUGGGCAUCUUUUCAUGUGUCUCUUAGCUGUCUGGAUGUCUUUGCAAUCUACAUUUUAAAAAUUAUUAUAU
Molecule: small nuclear RNA, 163 nt
Filed under: Suricata suricatta (meerkat)
Lineage: Eukaryota; Metazoa; Chordata; Mammalia; Carnivora; Herpestidae
Description: U4 spliceosomal RNA (ENSSSUG00005003313.1)
Rfam family: U4 spliceosomal RNA (bases 1-66)
Source: RNAcentral